AAAAGAUCGCAUUACAGGGAACUCGAGUCUUAUUGCUUUCUAGAUUCAGAUACAGAAUCAUCAUGUCCAAAGCGGGUCAGACAAUUCAACAGUAGCUUACAUCAACAAGCAAGGUCGGCUGGUUUAGAAAAAUCUAUGCUCACAGAUCAUGAGAUGGUCCGAAUGUCAACUUCUGUCAAUAUUGGCAGUGCAUAUAAAAGGAGAAUUAAACAUCCUAGCAGAUGCCCUCAAUCGUCAGCAUUUAAAACAAGCUGAUUGGUCUUUCAGUUCAGAUAUUCGGUCAAAUAACAGAAAAGAUUGGUUUUCCAGAUAUAGACCUUAUGGAUCCAAGAGCAAACCGGAAAAUUAAAAGAUUUGCUUCUCUGAACCUGUCACACUGAGCAGAGGUCAUAGACUCCCUAUUCAAUGGAAUUUCAAUCUGGCAUAUAUUUUUCAGACAAUUCCACUAAGCCCAAGGAUUCUACAGAAGAUCAGAAAAAGAAGUAGUAAAGUUUAUUAUAAUUCUGCCCUGGUGGCCAAGAAGGAGUUUGUUUUCCACUCUCGUACAUGUCCCCAAUUCAACCUAUUGGAAACUACCUCUAUCCUUGGAUAUGCUGGAACACUCUAUGGGUACCUCUUCAAACUCUAAAGAAAAUCAACCUGACGUCGGGGGCGGAGCCAAGCAGGGAACCUGAGCAGACGCACGCUUGCUGGGCUCCGAUCAGAAAGGCCACAAAACAUUUUUUGCUGGCAGUAUAGCCCGAAAAACGGUAUAUUGUUAUAGCAACCUACCAUGGGUCGUAAGCCUAAAAAGGCUAUGGGCCCAAGAUGGCCGCUAACAGCGACGGCUACACCGAAUCAUCCGAGGAGAUACUGCAGAGCAGGGGGGCGGCAGACCUACUACCUCCACUUCAAUCACUCCCGCUCCCACGGGGCUCGGGCCAAACACCUGUAACGGCUGCCACACUGAAGGAGAUGCUGAAUGAUCUCCAGAAGACCUUAUAGGCAGAUAUGGCCGCACUCCGGGCCGACCUCACGGGCAUGACCGGGUGCCUGACUACACUGGAGACAACCUCUGAAAGCCAGGCACAGAAAAUAGCAGCUCUGGAAACAGAGGUGCACGACAUGAAAUUACAACCUGCCAUACUAGCGCAACGCUUCGCACAGACAGAGGACGCCAGACGCCGCACUAACCAAGGUACGCGAGCUAUCGGAAAAGAUCCCGACUGCAGAACUUCCACACCUCAUGAGACGGCUGGUGGAGUCCUUUCUGUCGUCUAAAUAAGCGAAGGGGGUCACUUUCGAAGGCAUAUUCCAGGUCCCAUAGCCACAGGGGCACCAAUGUCAGCCACUAGAGAUGUAGUGGCACAAUUCCGCAACCUCAGGGACAAAAUGGCGGUACAGGCAGCACUGAAGGUAGCCUCGCCGCUCCUCUUUGAAAACAUGAAGCUCUCCUAUGCCGAUCUCAUGGAGGAUACCAUGCAAUGGAGGAGAUCCCUGCAACCUCUCACGGCACAGCUCAGAGCCAAAAGGAUCAACUACCGAUAGAAGUCACC
Non-coding RNA from Pelobates cultripes (western spadefoot toad), 1535 nucleotides. The record is from the annotation of a GenBank genome assembly. NCBI's taxonomy places the organism in Eukaryota, Metazoa, Chordata, Amphibia, Anura, Pelobatidae.